This 73-nucleotide transfer RNA is filed under the name Chloroflexota bacterium. RNAcentral's name for it is "tRNA-Ala". It matches the Rfam family "tRNA". From Rfam's summary of the family: Transfer RNA (tRNA) molecules are approximately 80 nucleotides in length. Their secondary structure includes four short double-helical elements and three loops (D, anti-codon, and T loops). The record is from RNAcentral. Lineage: Bacteria; Bacillati; Chloroflexota. RNAcentral also lists the same sequence under 3 other names.
GGGGCCGUAGCUCAGCUGGGAGAGCGCAACACUGGCAGUGUUGAGGUCAGGGGUUCGAGCCCCCUCGGCUCCA